CCUACGGGUGGCAGCAGUGGGGAAUAUUGCACAAUGGGGGAAACCCUGAUGCAGCGACGCCGCGUGAGUGAAGAAGCACUUCGGUAUGUAAAGCUCUAUCAGCAGGGAAGAAAAUGACGGUACCUGAUGAAGAAGCCCCGGCUAACUACGUGCCAGCAGCCGCGGUAAUACGUAGGGGGCAAGCGUUAUCCGGAUUUACUGGGUGUAAAGGGAGCGUAGACGGCAGCGCAAGACUGGAGUGAAAUGCCGGGGCCUAACCCCGGAACUGCUUUGGAAACUGUGCGGCUAGAGUGCAGGAGAGGUAAGUGGAAUUCCUGGUGUAGCGGUGAAAUGCGUAGAUAUUAGGAGGAACACCAGUGGCGAAGGCGGCUUACUGGACUGUAACUGACGUUGAGGCUCGAAAGCGUGGGGAGCAAACAGGAUUAGAUACCCCAGUAGUC
Molecule: ribosomal RNA, 440 nt
Filed under: uncultured bacterium
Lineage: Bacteria
Description: partial 16S ribosomal RNA
Rfam family: Bacterial small subunit ribosomal RNA
Source: RNAcentral